GACAGAGGGGGCAAGCGUUGCUCGGAAUUACUGGGCGUAAAGGGCGCGUAGGCGGAAUGGCAAGUCGGUCGUGAAAUCCUUCGGCUCAACCGAAGAACGUCGAUCGAAACUGCCGUUCUUGAGGAUUGCAGAGGAGACUGGAAUUCCCGGUGUAGCGGUGAAAUGUGUAGAGAUCGGGAGGAACACCGGUGGCGAAGGCGGGUCUCUGGGCCUGUACUGACGCUGAGGAGCGAAAGCGUGGGGAGCGAACAGG
RNAcentral lists this ribosomal RNA (253 nucleotides) under uncultured bacterium. RNAcentral's name for it is "partial 16S ribosomal RNA". It matches the Rfam family "Bacterial small subunit ribosomal RNA", at positions 524 to 776 of the family's 1533-position model. The record is from RNAcentral.